Long non-coding RNA from Talpa occidentalis (Iberian mole), 700 nucleotides. RefSeq lists it as uncharacterized. The record is from RefSeq and is a predicted model, not a curated record. NCBI's taxonomy places the organism in Eukaryota, Metazoa, Chordata, Mammalia, Eulipotyphla, Talpidae. The transcript is spliced from 3 exons.
CUAUGCUCACAGUAGAGCCGCAGAGGGUGCCUGAGGCCAGGCUCCGUAGCCAGAGAGCAAAAGUGAGGCCGAGACAUCGUCCUUUACUGUUCUGUGGUUUAAAAAUUAACUUAUUAUUAAUUGAGGGCGUCCUGGGCACUGUGCUGCGACUGCCCGUGCUGUGUGAGGAGGCUGGAGAUCAGCUGGGCAGGCCCGCGGGGCGAUCGUUGGCUUCUUGAAUGCAUGACACAAGUUUGAAUAAAACAGAAAGCAUUUGCUGGAGUUGGCUGGCCCGGAGCUGUGCUGACCUUGGCCAUCUCGCUGAGUGCUCGCUGCAGUCCGUGGGGUUACGACGUUGUUAUCGCUGCUUCACAGAUGCAGAAACCGAGGGCUGGCGAGUUGGGCUUGCUCGGCUCCUCAGACCUGUCAAGUGGUGGAUUCAAACCGGCUUGGCCCGACUCCAGCCCUUGUCAGUGUUUGCUCAGCUGCCCCGCGUAGGCUGUCUUCGGGUGGCCAUGCCGUCCAGGAAGUGCCUGCGUCACCCUUGGGUGGUCCCUGAUGUCAGCUGGAACUUGAGGAAAGGCUCCCCUCACAUCACAUCACCCCAGGAAACGUGUGUUUGGGGCAAAAGAUAAAAUAUUGAAUUCCCAGCUAGUGAUAAGACAGCAUUCACACUUGAGACCGGGGCUAUUAAAAGUUUUACUAUGUACUUAGAAUUAAA